Molecule: unclassified non-coding RNA, 241 nt
Filed under: plant metagenome
Description: partial contains small subunit ribosomal RNA, internal transcribed spacer 1, and 5.8S ribosomal RNA
Source: RNAcentral
UUUCCGUAGGUGAACCUGCGGAAGGAUCAUUAUUGAAUGAAACACUUCUGGCUUUAUGCAGUUGUGCUGGCCCUUUGGGCAAUGUGCACACGGCUCUGGUCACUUGUUUCUUCUGUUCCACCUGUGCACUGCCUGUAGACACGCUGUGUCUAUGAUAUUUGUUAACACACAACAAUGUUAGUUGGCAUGUUAUAUAUAAUAAUAAAAUAUACAACUUUCAACAACGGAUCUCUUGGCUCUC